CCUGAUCCAGCAAUGCCGCGUGAGUGAAGAAGGCCUUCGGGUUGUAAAGCUCUUUUGUCAGGGAAGAAACGGUGCGAGCUAAUAUCUCGUGCUAAUGACGGUACCUGAAGAAUAAGCACCGGCUAACUACGUGCCAGCAGCCGCGGUAAUACGUAGGGUGCAAGCGUUAAUCGGAAUUACUGGGCGUAAAGCGUGCGCAGGCGGUUUUGUAAGACUGUCGUGAAAUCCCCGGGCUCAACCUGGGAAUGGCGAUGGUGACUGCAAGGCUAGAGUUUGGCAGAGGGGGGUAGAAUUCCACGUGUAGCAGUGAAAUGCGUAGAUAUGUGGAGGAACACCGAUGGCGAAGGCAGCCCCCUGGGUCAAAACUGACGCUCAUGCACGAAAGCGUGGGGAGCAAACAGGAUUAGAUACCCUGGUAGUCCACGCCCUAAACGAUGUCUACUAGUUGUCGGGUUUUAAUUAACUUGGUAACGCAGCUAACGCGUGAAGUAGACCGCCUGGGGAGUACGGUCGCAAGAUUAAAACUCAAAGGAAUUGACGGGGACCCGCACAAGCGGUGGAUGAUGUGGAUUAAUUCGAUGCAACGCGAAAAACCUUACCUACCCUUGACAUGGAUGGAAUCCCGGAGAGAUUUGG
Molecule: ribosomal RNA, 636 nt
Filed under: Oxalobacteraceae bacterium Se2Pw_3317
Lineage: Bacteria; Pseudomonadati; Pseudomonadota; Betaproteobacteria; Burkholderiales; Oxalobacteraceae
Description: bacterial SSU rRNA
Rfam family: Bacterial small subunit ribosomal RNA
Source: RNAcentral